AAGCUCUGAGGUGAAAUUUCACAUUGAAUUGCAAAUUCAAAGAAGCAGCUUCAAUUCUGCCGGGGCUU
Molecule: transfer RNA, 68 nt
Filed under: Microcebus mamiratra (Claire's mouse lemur)
Lineage: Eukaryota; Metazoa; Chordata; Mammalia; Primates; Cheirogaleidae
Also listed under: 1 other name
Description: tRNA-Cys
Rfam family: tRNA
About the family: Transfer RNA (tRNA) molecules are approximately 80 nucleotides in length.
Source: RNAcentral